This 670-nucleotide ribosomal RNA is filed under the name uncultured Alphaproteobacteria bacterium. RNAcentral's name for it is "bacterial SSU rRNA". It matches the Rfam family "Bacterial small subunit ribosomal RNA", at positions 65 to 780 of the family's 1533-position model. Lineage: Bacteria; Pseudomonadati; Pseudomonadota; Alphaproteobacteria. The record is from RNAcentral.
AACGGAGUAGCAAUACUUAGUGGCAGACGGGUGAGUAACAUGUAGGUAUCUUCCCUUUGGCCUGGAAUAACACGAGGAAACUUGUGCUAAUACUGGAUAAGUCUUUACGGAGAAAGCUUUAUGCACCAUUGGAUGAGCCUGCACUUGAUUAGUUUGUUGGUGGGGUAAAGGCCUACCAAGACUGUGAUCAAUAGCUGGUUUGAGAGGAUGAUCAGCCACAUUGGGACUGAGACACGGCCCAAACUCCUACGGGAGGCAGCAGUGGGGAAUCUUGCACAAUGGAGGAAACUCUGAUGCAGCGAUGCCGCGUGAGUGAAGAAGGCCCUUGGGUUGUAAAGCUCUUUCGUCGGGGAAGAAAAUGACUGUACCCGAAUAAGAAGGUCCGGCUAACUUCGUGCCAGCAGCCGCGGUAAUACGAAGGGACCUAGCGUAGUUCGGAAUUACUGGGCUUAAAGAGUUCGUAGGUGGUUGAAAAAGUUGGUGGUGAAAUCCCAGAGCUUAACUCUGGAACUGCCAUCAAAACUUUUCAGCUAGAGUUUGAUAGAGGAAAGCAGAAUUUCUAGUGUAGAGGUGAAAUUCGUAGAUAUUAGAAAGAAUACCAAUUGCGAAGGCAGCUUUCUGGAUCAUUACUGACACUGAGGAACGAAAGCAUGGGUAGCGAAGAGGAUUA